This 466-nucleotide ribosomal RNA is filed under the name uncultured Alphaproteobacteria bacterium. RNAcentral describes it as "bacterial SSU rRNA". It matches the Rfam family "Bacterial small subunit ribosomal RNA", at positions 89 to 590 of the family's 1533-position model. The record is from RNAcentral. Lineage: Bacteria; Pseudomonadati; Pseudomonadota; Alphaproteobacteria.
UACUGAGUGGCAGACGGGUGAGUAACAUGUGGGAAUCUGCCUUGUGGUUCAGGACAACAUUGGGAAACCGAUGCUAAUACUGGAUAAGCCCUUACGGGGAAAGUUUUAAUGCCACAAGAUGAGCCCGCAUUUGAUUAGUUAGUUGGUGAGGUAAUGGCUCACCAAGACAAUGAUCAAUAGCUGAUCUGAGAGGAUGAUCAGCCACACUGGGACUGAGACACGGCCCAGACUCCUACGGGAGGCAGCAGUGGGGAAUCUUGCACAAUGGAGGAAACUCUGAUGCAGCGAUGCCGCGUGAGUGAAGAAGGCCUUUGGGUUGUAAAGCUCUUUUGUAGGGGAAGAUAAUGACUGUACCCUAAGAAUAAGGUCCGGCUAACUUCGUGCCAGCAGCCGCGGUAAUACGAAGGGACCUAGCGUAGUUCGGAAUUACUGGGCGUAAAGCGCGCGUAGGCCGUUGAGUUAGUUA